ACAAACAGCUCGAAGCUGGGUUUCCAAGCGUGGCAGGUGGCUCAUUAUGCGUGACAGAGGCACAAGAGCAGGCUAAUCAGGCCUAGAUCCCACAGCUGCGGAGAUUCAAGCCCUGUGCAAUGUUCACCACUGGACACGGCCAAGCUCCUGGGUGUCACUUACUGGAAGUAGCUGGUGAAGAAAACAGACAAAUUCCUUGCUCUCGGGACCUUAUCAUCUAGGCCACCAACCACUCCGUGAGGCUCGGGCUCUUUGGGUUCAAAGUUACCGAGGACCCCUGGGCGGAGCACAGGAUC
Long non-coding RNA from Lagenorhynchus albirostris (white-beaked dolphin), 296 nucleotides. RefSeq lists it as uncharacterized. The transcript is spliced from 3 exons. NCBI's taxonomy places the organism in Eukaryota, Metazoa, Chordata, Mammalia, Artiodactyla, Delphinidae. The record is from RefSeq and is a predicted model, not a curated record.